RNAcentral lists this ribosomal RNA (446 nucleotides) under uncultured bacterium. Its description in RNAcentral is "bacterial SSU rRNA". It matches the Rfam family "Bacterial small subunit ribosomal RNA", at positions 329 to 792 of the family's 1533-position model. The record is from RNAcentral.
CUCCAGACUCCUACGGGAGGCAGCAGUGGGGAAUAUUGCACAAUGGGGGAAACCCUGAUGCAGCAACGCCGCGUGAGUGAAGAAGUAUUUCGGUAUGUAAAGCUCUAUCAGCAGGGAAGAAGAUGACGGUACCUGAUUAAGAAGCCCCGGCUAACUACGUGCCAGCAGCCGCGGUAAUACGUAGGGGGCAAGCGUUAUCCGGAUUUACUGGGUGUAAAGGGAGCGCAGACGGCAGUGCAAGUCUGGAGUGAAAGCCCGGGGCCCAACCCCGGAACUGCUCUUGGAACUGCGUGGCUGGAGUGCAGGAGGGGCAGGCGGAAUUCCUGGUGUAGCGGUGAAAUGCGUAGAUAUCAGGAGGAACACCGGUGGCGAAGGCGGCCUGCUGGACUGCAACUGACGUUGAGGCCCGAAAGCGUGGGGAGCAAACAGGAUUAGAUACCCGUGUA